GAUGAAGAACGUAGCGAAAUGCGAUAAGUAAUGUGAAUUGCAGAAUUCAGUGAAUCAUCGAAUCUUUGAACGCACAUUGCGCCCGCCAGUAUUCUGGCGGGCAUGCCUGUUCGAGCGUCAUUACAACCCUCAGGCCCCCGGGCCUGGCGUUGGGGAUCGGCGGAAGCCCCCUGCGGGCACAACGCCGUCCCCCAAAUACAGUGGCGGCCCCGCCGCAGCUUCCAUUGCGUAGUAGCUAACACCUCGCAACUGGAGAGCGGCGCGGCCACGCCGUAAAACACCCAACUUCUGAAUGUUGACCUCGAAUCAGGUAGGAAUACCCGCUGAACUUAAGCAUAUCAAUAAGCGGAGGA
This 353-nucleotide unclassified non-coding RNA is filed under the name soil metagenome. Its description in RNAcentral is "partial contains 5.8S ribosomal RNA, internal transcribed spacer 2, and large subunit ribosomal RNA". The stretch from base 1 to 120 matches the Rfam family "5.8S ribosomal RNA", at positions 35 to 154 of the family's 154-position model. The record is from RNAcentral.